Ictidomys tridecemlineatus (thirteen-lined ground squirrel) is the source of this 519-nucleotide non-coding RNA. NCBI's taxonomy places the organism in Eukaryota, Metazoa, Chordata, Mammalia, Rodentia, Sciuridae. The record is from RefSeq and is a predicted model, not a curated record.
GCACAAAAAUCAGAUGUUCAUGUAUAUGUGGCAUCUUGGCAAAUCAAAGUCAUGUGUAGGCUGAAAGCUUUGAAAGAGCAGAAGAAGCUGGUCUACAGGGAAAAACUGAAAAAUGAAUGGACCAGAGACCCUGAGAAUCAGAGCUGAGAUGCCAUGGGGCAUGAUGACUGACAAAGGAAAAGACCAUCAGCUUCCCCCCUAAUUUACAGUUGUAGGUACUAGAAGAUUUAAGGAAAGAUACCUAAUUUUGGAGAUGAUUGAGGAAAAGACCCCUCCGAGAGCAACUGAAGAUCUAGAAUUGUCUUAGUGCUUUAGAGCUGCCAUAACAAAAUGCCACAAACUGAGUGGCUUAAACAGCAAAUAUGUCUUGUCUCACAGUUGUGGAGACUGGGAGUCUGAGAUCAAGGUGUCAAUCAAGCAAUGCUCCCUCUGAAGGCAGUAGAGAGGAUCUUUUCCAGAAAUCUCUCCUAGCUCUGGUAGUUUCAUGACUUGUGGCAAUAAACUCCCCUUUUCUCAGAA